CACAGGCCUGAAGGGAACUUAAAGAAGAGCCCAUCACCUCGGUCUUAGUGAUCAGCGAGUAGAAUGCUGUGGUCUAGGAAAAGUUUGAGCUUAUUGCCUUCCUGGGGACAGCUUGAAAGAUGUCCAGUGCCUCCUGCAUCCCUGGAACAGCCCAGGCCCUCAACCCUGGCAGGCCUUUCAUUCUUUCUUUCAGUCCUGUGAACUCUUGUUCAUUCUUACUGAAAUCCCUUUCAGUGACAUUUAGUCAUCAUCUCAGGUACUGAGUUGGCUAGUAUGAGACCCUUCAUGAUACAAGCAGCAAUGCAAGGAGCUUUCCUGCAUGAAUUAACUGAAAGGGGAUAGCUUCCCAUGAAAUAGGCAGCACUUUUUAGCAGUACCCCAAAUAUAAAGGAGCCUGGGAACAGGGAGGAAGCAAGGCUGCUUUUGUCUGCCUGCUUUUGUUCUUUGCUGAUGAGUGCAUCUACUCUGAUGUCACUGUUACUGCCAUUCUUUGCUGACCCAGAUUCUUCAGCCCUCCAAUGUGGACUAAAUCUUCUUGGCCAGCAGCACCAGAAUGGGACUACUGGAGCAUCUAUUGUUAUGGUUAUGCAGCAAUAGUUCCACAGAGCAUUGUGCUGGUUACAAGUGAGUCUCAGGUCCACUCGGAUUCAAGAGGAGAAGUCAUCAACAGCAACUCCCGUUUUCCACAGCGUGUAACAGAGCCUGCAACACUUUGAGAACACACAAAUAUUGAAGAAAUGUGGAUUAUUUUAAACCAGUUUCAGG
Rattus norvegicus (Norway rat) is the source of this 765-nucleotide non-coding RNA. The record is from RefSeq and is a predicted model, not a curated record. NCBI's taxonomy places the organism in Eukaryota, Metazoa, Chordata, Mammalia, Rodentia, Muridae.